GACAGAGGUGCCGAGCGUUAGGCGGAAUCAGCUGGGCUUAAAGCGUGUGUAGGCGGCCCGUUAAGUGUCUUGUGAAAUCCCCCGGCUCAACCGGGGAACUGCUGGGCAUACUGGCGGGCUUGGGUCGCUCAGGGGGCAGACGGAACGAGGCGGUGGAGCGGUGAAAUGCGUAGAUAUCGCCUGGAACGCCGAAGGUGAAAACGAGUCUGCUGGGGGCGCACCGGACGCUGAGACACGAAAGCCAGGGGAGCGAACGGG
This 258-nucleotide ribosomal RNA is filed under the name uncultured bacterium. Its description in RNAcentral is "partial 16S ribosomal RNA". It matches the Rfam family "Bacterial small subunit ribosomal RNA", at positions 524 to 776 of the family's 1533-position model. The record is from RNAcentral.